This 424-nucleotide long non-coding RNA is filed under the name Marmota monax (woodchuck). The record is from RNAcentral. Lineage: Eukaryota; Metazoa; Chordata; Mammalia; Rodentia; Sciuridae.
AUCGUAUUGUCUCCUUUAAUCGGUAACUGUUAGCCCAAGUGCCCGACACAAGGUGAACUUGACCUCUCACAGAAAACAAUUGUACUUGAACUCUCCCUGCUACUCUGCAGCUCUUCAUAUCUUUCUUUUAACAGGUACUUGCUUUAACCUUGCUGGUCAAGAUGACAGAUAAUUUACAUUAACGGAUUAUGCCGGAACACUCCAGGUCUAAGCUGAAAGCGCAUUAGCCCCAAAUGACUUGGGCAGCCAAGAAGAAGGACCUGAAGCAAAACAGCCAGUGCACACAUCUGGAAGGUGUAGGGUUUCCAGGAAAGCUUCAAACCACCUUGGUCCCUGUGUGGCACUCCCUGAGACUGUUCAGCCAUACGGAUUUUUUAACAAAAUCAUCUGCCUAUUCAUCCCAGUAGCUUGUUAAUGUCUGUUU